ACGCUAGCGGCAGGCCUACACAUGCAAGUNCAGGGGCAGCAUAUCACUUCGGUGAUGAUGGCGACCGGCGCACGGGUGAGUAUCGCGUUUGUAACCUACCCUUAACUGGGGAAUAGCCCGAAGAAAUUCGGAUUAAUACCCCAUUAAAUUUAAGAACGGCAUCGUUUUUUUAUUAAAGCUCCGGCGGUUAAGGAUGGGCAUGCGUGACAUUAGUUUGUUGGUGAGGUAACGGCUCACCAAGACUACGAUGUCUAGGGGGUCUGAGAGGAUGAUCCCCCACACUGGUACUGAGACACGGACCAGACUCCUACGGGAGGCAGCAGUGAGGAAUAUUGGGCAAUGGACGCAAGUCUGACCCAGCCAUGCCGCGUGCAGGAUGACGGCGCUAUGCGUUGUAAACUGCUUUUAUACAGGAAGAAAUCCCCGAACGUGUUCGGGGUUGACGGUACUGUAAGAAUAAGCAUCGGCUAACUCCGUGCCAGCAGCCGCGGUAAUACGGAGGAUGCAAGCGUUAUCCGGAUUCAUUGGGUUUAAAGGGUGCGCAGGCGGGGCAAUAAGUCAGUGGUGAAAUCCUGCGGCUUAACCGUAGAACUGCCAUUGAUACUGUUGCCCUUGAGUAUAGUUGAGGUGGGCGGAAUAUGUAAUGUAGCGGUGAAAUGCAUAGAUAUUACAUAGAACACCAAUUGCGAAGGCAGCUCACUAAGCUAUCACUGACGCUGAGGCACGAAAGCGUGGGGAGCGAACAGGAUUAGAUACCCUGGUAGUCCACGCCGUAAACGAUGAUCACUCGUUGUUGGCAAUACAUCGUCAGCGACUGAGCGAAAGCAUUAAGUGAUC
Molecule: ribosomal RNA, 837 nt
Filed under: uncultured bacterium
Lineage: Bacteria
Description: bacterial SSU rRNA
Rfam family: Bacterial small subunit ribosomal RNA
Source: RNAcentral